Molecule: non-coding RNA, 853 nt
Organism: Python bivittatus (Burmese python)
Lineage: Eukaryota; Metazoa; Chordata; Lepidosauria; Squamata; Pythonidae
Source: the annotation of a RefSeq genome assembly
UCAGCUGCUCUCAUUUCAGUUCAUCACUAUGGCUCUGAACGGCUAUGGAGUCAUCAUUGUCUUAGUGUCUUGCUUUGGUUUCAUCUCCCAGGCUCUGGUGACUCAAAGUGGUCCUGUUUCAGUGGCUGUUGGACAAACAGCCACCAUCACCUGUACUCUACAAGGAGUGGAGUUUAUCAGCCCUACUAACCCAUCCUGGUAUCAGCAGAAAGGAGGACAGUCUCCAAGGUUGCUCAUCUACAAGUCCAGGGAAAGAGCUUCCGGGAUCCCUCAACGUUUUUCUGCAGACACCUAUGACAACAAUGCAAAGUUGACCAUUUCAAGCGUUGAGGGUGCUGAUGAAGGGGAUUAUUUCUGUGCCAUGUGGCAUAAUGAUGGGCUACACACUGUUGCCUUCAGAUGCAGACCUGAAACAAGAGGUUUCUGGGCCUGAAACAGAAAGUGGAUGGGAGUAAACCCACAUUCUGCUUCUAUCCUUCUGAAUGUCACAUAUAGGGUAUUUCCUGCAUUUGGCAGAACCCUUUCACUGUGGAAGAGGAGCAUUCCAGAUCCUGUCAUCAGUUCUGUGGUGCCCUGGGGAGUGGAAGGGGGAUAUUCCUCUGCUCUUCUGGAAUCCCUGAGCCAUUUUCUGGUUCUGUGGACUCUUCCUCCAAUUCGGCCACCUUGUCCAUCUCCAACAUUCAAGCAGAAGACGAGGUUGAUGAUUCCUGUUCAUCUCAUGAUGGCAGUGGGCCGAGCACAGUGAUUCAACCCAAUGGAGGACUGAGACCAAAACUUUCUCAUCACUGUUGACAAGCUCCACUUUUUAUCACUUGCAGAUGGCUGACAAUAGGAGUCACUAUAGACAGCAAUU